Molecule: long non-coding RNA, 455 nt
Organism: Camellia sinensis
Lineage: Eukaryota; Viridiplantae; Streptophyta; Magnoliopsida; Ericales; Theaceae
Source: RefSeq, a predicted model, not a curated record
AAAAAUUGUUAACUCAAAAAAUAAGUUUACAUUGAUUUUUAAACACAAAAAUGGAAGUUUACUGUAGUGGAGCUACAGUAAAUCAAAGUGGACACUCAAGAGACUAUGUUUCGAAUCUACGGAGCAGCACAUUUCAAUUUCCCAAUCAACGAUAAUAUAAACAUUGUAUCUAACCUUACAUCAUCUUCUUCCUCUGCUUUAUGUUCAAAAACCUUGAAGAUCAGAUCCGUUGCAAAUGUCCCAACUAAAUCGAUCUCAGGUCUCUUUCUCUCUCUCUUCGCUCUCUUCUCUCUUGCUCUCUGUUUCACAUAGAGCUUGCGGUUUUUUUUUUUUUUGAACAACAUAACUACUUUUUUUUAUAUAUAAAUAUUGUUGAUGGUUCUUUGUAGAUCUGUUCUAGAUCCAUUGUAAAUUUUUUUUUUAUAUUUUUUAAAGAACAUAUAUUAUGCUGGUCA